GAGAAAAUCUCCGGGGUAAAUGGGCACCCAGGCGAGACAGAGAAGAGAAAAGGAGAUCAGAAAAGCAACUCAGUUCCAUUUCACAGGCUCUUUUCUUUUGCAGAUUCUGCUGAUACAAUGUUGAUGAUCAUUGGCACAGUUGGUGCUGUUGGGAAUGGUUUAAGUCUGCCCUUGAUGACAGUAUUUCUUGGGGAUAUGAUUGAUGCUUUUGGAGAAAAUCAGAAUAACAAGGAUGUGGUGCAUGUAGUUUCCAAGGUGU
RNAcentral lists this unclassified non-coding RNA (259 nucleotides) under Hevea brasiliensis (rubber tree). Lineage: Eukaryota; Viridiplantae; Streptophyta; Magnoliopsida; Malpighiales; Euphorbiaceae. The record is from RNAcentral.